AUAUCCCUGCAGUGCUCGUUGGAAAUUUGAUAAUUGUUGAACCAACACUAAUUUCAAGGGAGCCCAAUAGGGCGCCCACCUGAAAGCAAAUGGUUCAGACUAUUCAUUCCAACGGCACUUACGCGGGGAUUUU
RNAcentral lists this non-coding RNA (133 nucleotides) under Candidatus Omnitrophota bacterium. RNAcentral's name for it is "6S RNA". It matches the Rfam family "6S / SsrS RNA". Rfam says of the family: E. coli 6S RNA was the first non coding RNA to be sequenced, but its function was unknown until recently. It consists of 184 nucleotides that fold into an extended hairpin structure with a large single-stranded internal bulge. Lineage: Bacteria; Pseudomonadati; Candidatus Omnitrophota. The record is from RNAcentral.